UUAAUAGUGUUGUGCACCUUGACAGGUGUAUAUGUGAACGGCUCACAGGGUUUUUCUGAAUCUGUAGGUCCAGGAUUUAUUUUUGAAAGGUCGUGCAGAAGACAUCUCCAUUAACCGGUAACAGAUGAAAUCGUUUGCUGCCGAGGUUCACGUGCAGAAGAGCGAAAAUGCUGCAAGUGGAUGAUAGAUAACAGCUCAAGACACAUGGUAUGAGGGUGCAGGUAAACUGUACAUAUGCAUCUGGAAAAAGU
This is a long non-coding RNA of Malus domestica (apple), 251 nucleotides long. RefSeq lists it as uncharacterized. NCBI's taxonomy places the organism in Eukaryota, Viridiplantae, Streptophyta, Magnoliopsida, Rosales, Rosaceae. The record is from RefSeq and is a predicted model, not a curated record.